This 468-nucleotide ribosomal RNA is filed under the name uncultured bacterium. RNAcentral's name for it is "partial 16S ribosomal RNA". It matches the Rfam family "Bacterial small subunit ribosomal RNA", at positions 28 to 507 of the family's 1533-position model. The record is from RNAcentral.
GACGAACGCUGGCGGCGUGCUUAACACAUGCAAGUCGAACGGAAAGGCCCUGCUUUUGUGGGGUGCUCGAGUGGCGAACGGGUGAGUAACACGUGAGUAACCUGCCCUUGACUUUGGGAUAACUUCAGGAAACUGGGGCUAAUACCGGAUAGGAGCUCCUGCUGCAUGGUGGGGGUUGGAAAGUUUCGGCGGUUGGGGAUAGACUCGCGGCUUAUCAGCUUGUUGGUGGGGUAGUGGCUUACCAAGGCUUUGACGGGUAGCCGGCCUGAGAGGGUGACCGGCCACAUUGGGACUGAGAGACGGCCCAGACUCCUACGGGAGGCAGCAGUGGGGAAUAUUGCACAAUGGGCGGAAGCCUGAUGCAGCAACGCCGCGUGCGGGAUGACGGCCUUCGGGUUGUAAACCGCUGUCGCCUGUGACGAAGCGUGAGUGACGGUAAUGGGUAAAGAAGCACCGGCUAACUACGUG